This 441-nucleotide ribosomal RNA is filed under the name Pseudomonas aeruginosa. RNAcentral's name for it is "bacterial SSU rRNA". It matches the Rfam family "Bacterial small subunit ribosomal RNA", at positions 39 to 476 of the family's 1533-position model. The record is from RNAcentral. Lineage: Bacteria; Pseudomonadati; Pseudomonadota; Gammaproteobacteria; Pseudomonadales; Pseudomonadaceae.
GACCCCCCCCUAUAAGCGCGCGCAUGCACGUCGAGCGGAUGGAAGGGAGCUUGCUCCUGGAUUCAGCGGCGGACGGGUGAGUAAUGCCUAGGAAUCUGCCUGGUAGUGGGGGAUAACGUCCGGAAACGGGCGCUAAUACCGCAUACGUCCUGAGGGAGAAAGUGGGGGAUCUUCGGACCUCACGCUAUCAGAUGAGCCUAGGUCGGAUUAGCUAGUUGGUGGGGUAAAGGCCUACCAAGGCGACGAUCCGUAACUGGUCUGAGAGGAUGAUCAGUCACACUGGAACUGAGACACGGUCCAGACUCCUACGGGAGGCAGCAGUGGGGAAUAUUGGACAAUGGGCGAAAGCCUGAUCCAGCCAUGCCGCGUGUGUGAAGAAGGUCUUCGGAUUGUAAAGCACUUUAAUUUGGGAGGAAGGGCAGUAAGUUAAUACCUUGCUGU